CGGUGUUUAACUGGCGUGAUGUGGGACGUCCUACCGGUGGGCUUAGCCUCGCGAGGGGCGGCCCAACUAAUAUCCCGUCGCGGUGCUCUUUACUGAGUGUCGAGUCGGGCCGGUACGUUUACUUUGAACAAAUUAGAGUGCUUAAAGCAGGCUAUCCUCGCCUGAAUACUGCGUGCAUGGAAUAAUGGAAUAGGACCUCGGUUCUAUUUUGUUGGUUUUCGGAACCCCGAGGUAAUGAUUAAUAGGGACAGAUGGGGGCAUUCGUAUUGCGACGUUAGAGGUGAAAUUCUUGGAUCGUCGCAAGACGGACAGAAGCGAAAGCAUUUGCCAAAAAUGUUUUCAUUAAUCAAGAACGAAAGUUAGAGGUUCGAAGGCGAUCAGAUACCGCCCUAGUUCUAACCAUAAACGAUGCCAGCUAGCGAUCCGCCGAAGUUCCUCCGAUGACUCGGCGGGCAGCUUCCGGGAAACCAAAGCUUUUGGGUUCCGGGGGAAGUAUGGUUGCAAAGCUGAAACUUAAAGGAAUUGACGGAAGGGCACCACCAGGAGUGGAGCCUGCGGCUUAAUUUGACUCAACACGGGAAACCUCACCAGGCCCAGACACCGGAAGGAUUGACAGAUUGAUAGCUCUUUCUUGAUUCGGUGGGGGGUGGGGCAUGGCCGUUCUUAGUUGGUGGAGAGAUUUGUCUGGUUAAUUCUGAUAACGAACGAGACUCUAGCCUGCUAAAUAGGCGUACCUUAUGGUAUCGCGAAGGCCCCCGGCUUCGGCCGGUGGGUUUUUACUACCAACGUACAAACAAAUCUUCUAGAGGGACAGGCGG
Molecule: ribosomal RNA, 818 nt
Filed under: uncultured eukaryote
Lineage: Eukaryota
Description: SSU rRNA
Rfam family: Eukaryotic small subunit ribosomal RNA
Source: RNAcentral